ACGAACGCUGGCGGUGUGCUUAACACAUGCAAGUCGAACGGUAAGGCCCUUUCGGGGGUAUACGAGUGGCGAACGGGUGAGUAACACGUGAGUAACCUGCCCUCAUCUCUGGGAUAACAGUCGGAAACGGUUGCUAAUACUGGAUAUGAGCUUGCAAGGCAUCUUGUGGGUUGGAAAGAUUUUUUUUGGUUGGGGAUGGACUCGCGGCCUAUCAGCUUGUUGGUGAGGUAGUGGCUCACCAAGGCUUCGACGGGUAGCCGGCCUGAGAGGGCGACCGGCCACAUUGGGACUGAGAUACGGCCCAAACUCCUACGGGAGGCAGCAGUGGGGAAUAUUGCACAAUGGACGGAAGUCUGAUGCAGCAACGCCGCGUGCGGGAUGACGGCCUUCGGGUUGUAAACCGCUUUCAAUUGUGACGAAGCUUUUUUGUGACGGUAGCAGUAGAAGAAGCACCGGCUAACUACGUG
This 467-nucleotide ribosomal RNA is filed under the name uncultured bacterium. Its description in RNAcentral is "partial 16S ribosomal RNA". It matches the Rfam family "Bacterial small subunit ribosomal RNA", at positions 29 to 507 of the family's 1533-position model. The record is from RNAcentral.